Hypoxylon sp. FL1857 is the source of this 117-nucleotide non-coding RNA. NCBI's taxonomy places the organism in Eukaryota, Fungi, Ascomycota, Sordariomycetes, Xylariales, Hypoxylaceae. The record is from the annotation of a GenBank genome assembly.
GCCUUGGUAGCUCAAUUGGCUAGAGCGUGGGACUUUUAACACGGUUGUUACUUCUCAUUCAGGAGUUUGCCGAGUCACGUGAUCCCAAGGUUGCGGGUUCGACCCCCGCCUGAGGCG